Molecule: ribosomal RNA, 253 nt
Filed under: uncultured bacterium
Lineage: Bacteria
Description: partial 16S ribosomal RNA
Rfam family: Bacterial small subunit ribosomal RNA
Source: RNAcentral
UACGUAGGGUGCGAGCGUUAAUCGGAAUUACUGGGCGUAAAGCGUGCGCAGGCGGCGCGUUAAGACAGGUGUGAAAGCCCCGAGCUUAACUUGGGAAUUGCGCUUGUGACUGGCGUGCUGGAGUGUGGCAGAGGGAGGUGGAAUUCCACGUGUAGCAGUGAAAUGCGUAGAGAUGUGGAGGAACACCGAUGGCGAAGGCAGGUCUCUGGGCUGACACUGACGCUCAUGCACGAAAGCGUGGGGAGCAAACAGG